GAUGAACGCUGGCGGCGUGCUUAACACAUGCAAGUCGAACGGUGAAGCCCAGCUUGCUGGGUGGAUCAGUGGCGAACGGGUGAGUAACACGUGAGCAAUCUGCCCCUGACUCUGGGAUAAGCGCUGGAAACGGCGUCUAAUACUGGAUAUGAACCGUGGAGGCAUCUUCAACGGUUGGAAAGAUUUUUUGGUCAGGGAUGAGCUCGCGGCCUAUCAGCUUGUUGGUGAGGUAAUGGCUCACCAAGGCGUCGACGGGUAGCCGGCCUGAGAGGGUGACCGGCCACACUGGGACUGGAGACACGGCCCAG
This 308-nucleotide ribosomal RNA is filed under the name uncultured bacterium. RNAcentral describes it as "bacterial SSU rRNA". It matches the Rfam family "Bacterial small subunit ribosomal RNA", at positions 28 to 334 of the family's 1533-position model. The record is from RNAcentral.